Molecule: non-coding RNA, 574 nt
Organism: Schizosaccharomyces pombe (fission yeast)
Lineage: Eukaryota; Fungi; Ascomycota; Schizosaccharomycetes; Schizosaccharomycetales; Schizosaccharomycetaceae
Source: the annotation of a GenBank genome assembly
CUCGGUUUGCCAUUUCGGAAAGUGUGCCACGAGCAUUUUCAAGAAGAAUGGAAUUCAGUUGCACGGGAGCAUCAUGAAUAUUACCCAAUGUGCUAAUCAGUAUACCUGUCAUAAAAUCUAAUGUGGGAUUGGAAGAUUUGACAGCUGGUUGAUCCGAUUCAUAAGAAGUUUCAAAUGAUAUAUUUAAUCGGGUUGGUUGUAAAUGGAGAGUCUCAAAAAAUACGUUACUGCGAUAAACAUCCGCGUCAAGAUCUGGUAUUUCAAACUUAUCCGCAAAAGCGUUCUUGCUGAGACUUGCAGAAUCUUUAGAAACAUCGGAUGAUGGAUAAAGCAAUUGUAACAACGUUAAAACCAAUCUAUCCUCCACUUCGAGCGAUAGCUCUUGAAGAAGGAGAGAGGCAUACUUAAUGUAUAGAAUAUUAAAACUGCUAUCUUUAAGGACGGAAAAUCGCAGCUGUAAAAGUUGGGGAUCGUCUUGUUUGACUUCUUGGGUAAUCAUUGUAGGAAACAAUGCAAUUGGAUAUACAGAAUCCAACAUCUGAUUGUCAAUUUGAAGCCAUCCCAAUGACAUUCC